This 255-nucleotide ribosomal RNA is filed under the name uncultured bacterium. RNAcentral describes it as "partial 16S ribosomal RNA". It matches the Rfam family "Bacterial small subunit ribosomal RNA", at positions 524 to 776 of the family's 1533-position model. The record is from RNAcentral.
UACGUAGGGUGCAAGCGUUAAUCGGAAUUACUGGGCGUAAAGCGUGCGCAGGCGGUUUUGUAAGUCUGUCGUGAAAUCCCCCGGGCUCAACCUGGGAAUUGCGAUGGAGACUGCAAGGCUAGAAUCUGGCAGAGGGGGGUAGAAUUCCACGUGUAGCAGUGAAAUGCGUAGAGAUGUGGAGGAACACCGAUGGCGAAGGCAGCCCCCUGGGUCAAGGAUUGACGCUCAUGCACGAAAGCGUGGGGAGCAAACAGG